GAUGAACGCUGACAGAAUGCUUAACACAUCAGCAAUUGAUUGGUGGCGGACGGGUGAGUAACGCGUAAAGAACUUGCCUCACAGGUAGGGACAACAUUUGGAAACGAAUGCUAAUACCUAAUACUGUGAGAGAGCUUUGGGUCCCAUUAGCUAGUUGGAGAGGUAACGGCUCACCAAGGCGAUGAUGGGUAGCCGGCCUGAGAGGGUGAUCGGCCCAAAGGGGACCGAGACACGGCCGUUACGCCUACGGGAGGAUGCAGUGGGGAAUAAUGGACAAUGGACCAAAGUCUGAGCCAGCAAUUCUGUGGUAACGAUGAAUUUUUCGGAAUGUAAAGUGCUUUCAGUUGGGAAGCGGUACCAACAGAAGAAGUGACGGCUAAAUACGUGCCAGCAGCCGCGGUAAUUC
Molecule: ribosomal RNA, 406 nt
Filed under: uncultured bacterium
Lineage: Bacteria
Description: partial 16S ribosomal RNA
Rfam family: Bacterial small subunit ribosomal RNA
Source: RNAcentral